GAUGAACGCUGGCGGCGUGCCUAAUACAUGCAAGUCGAGCGAACAGACGAGGAGCUUGCUCCUCUGACGUUAGCGGCGGACGGGUGAGUAACACGUGGAUAACCUACCUAUAAGACUGGGAUAACUUCGGGAAACCGGAGCUAAUACCGGAUAAUAUAUUGAACCGCAUGGUUCAAUAGUGAAAGACGGUCUUGCUGUCACUUAUAGAUGGAUCCGCGCCGCAUUAGCUAGUUGGUAAGGUAACGGCUUACCAAGGCAACGAUGCGUAGCCGACCUGAGAGGGUGAUCGGCCACACUGGAACUGAGACACGGUCCAGACUCCUACGGGAGGCAGCAGUAGGGAAUCUUCCGCAAUGGGCGAAAGCCUGACGGAGCAACGCCGCGUGAAUGAUGAAGGUCUUCGGAUCGUAAAACUCUGUUAUUAGGGAAGAACAAAUGUGUAAGUAACUAUGCACGUCUUGACGGUACCUAAUCAGAAAGCCACGGCUAACUACGUG
RNAcentral lists this ribosomal RNA (497 nucleotides) under uncultured bacterium. RNAcentral describes it as "partial 16S ribosomal RNA". It matches the Rfam family "Bacterial small subunit ribosomal RNA", at positions 28 to 507 of the family's 1533-position model. The record is from RNAcentral.